GAUGAACGCUGGCGGCGUGCCUAAUACAUGCAAGUCGAGCGAACAGAUUAUCAGCUUGCUCCUCUUACGUUAGCGGCGGACGGGUGAGUAACACUUGGAUAACCUACCUAUAAUACUGGGAUAACUUCGGGAAACCGGAGCUAAUACCGGAUAAUAUAUUUAACCGCAUGGUUCAAUAGUGAAAGACGGUUUUGCUGUCACUUAUAGAUGUAUCCGCGCCGCAUUAGCUAGUUGGUAAGGUAACGGCUUACCAAGGCAACGAUGCGUAGCCGACCUGUGAGGAUGAUCGGACACACAGGAACUGAGACACGGUCCAGAGUGCUACGGGAGGCAGCAGUAGGGAAUAUUAGGCAAAGGGCGAAAGCCUGACGGAGCAACGCGGCGUGGGUGAUGAAGGUCUUGGGAUCGUAAAACUCUGUUAUUAGGGAAGAAGGAAUGUGUAAGUAAAUAUGCACGUCUUGACGGUACCUAAUCAGAAAGCCGCGGCUAACUAGGUG
RNAcentral lists this ribosomal RNA (497 nucleotides) under uncultured bacterium. Its description in RNAcentral is "partial 16S ribosomal RNA". It matches the Rfam family "Bacterial small subunit ribosomal RNA", at positions 28 to 507 of the family's 1533-position model. The record is from RNAcentral.